GACGAACGCUGGCGGCGUGCUUAACACAUGCAAGUCGAACGGAAAGGCCCUGCUUUUGUGGGGUGCUCGAGUGGCGAACGGGUGAGUAACACGUGAGUAACCUGCCCUUGACUUUGGGAUAACUUCAGGAAACUGGGGCUAAUACCGGAUAGGAGCUCCUGCUGCAUGGUGGGGGUUGGAAAGUUUCGGCGGUUGGGGAUGGACUCGCGGCUUAUCAGCUUGUUGGUGGGGUAGUGGCUUACCAAGGCUUUGACGGGUAGCCGGCCUGAGAGGGUGACCGGCCACAUUGGGACUGAGAUACGGCCCAGACUCCUACGGGAGGCAGCAGUGGGGAAUAUUGCACAAUGGGCGGAAGCCUGAUGCAGCAACGCCGCGUGCGGGAUGACGGCCUUUCGGUUGUAAACCGCUUUCGCCUGUGACGAAGCGUGAGUGACGGUAAUGGGUAAAGAAGCACCGGCUAACUACGUGCCAGCAGCCGCGGUGAUACGUAGGGUGCGAGCGUUGUCCGGAUUUAUUGGGCGUAAAGGGCUCGUAGGUGGUUGAUCGCGUCGGAAGUGUAAUCUUGGGGCUUAACCCUGAGCGUGCUUUCGAUACGGGUUGACUUGAGGAAGGUAGGGGAGAAUGGAAUUCCUGGUGGAGCGGUGGAAUGCGCAGAUAUCAGGAGGAACACCAGUGGCGAAGGCGGUUCUCUGGGCCUUUCCUGACGCUGAGGAGCGAAAGCGUGGGGAGCGAACAGGCUUAGAUACCCUGGUAGUCCACGCUGUAAACGGUGGGUACUAGGUGUGGGGUCCAUUCCACGGGUUCCGUGCCGUAGCAAACGCUUUAAGUACCCCGCCUGGGGAGUACGGCCGCAAGGCUAAAACUCAAAGGAAUUGACGGGGCCCCGCACAAGCGGCGGAGCAUGCGGAUUAAUUCGAUGCAACGCGUAGAACCUUACCUGGGUUUGACAUGGAUCGGGAGUGCUCAGAGAUGGGUGUGCCUCUUUUGGGGUCGGUUCACAGGUGGUGCAUGGCUGUCGUCAGCUCGUGUCGUGAGAUGUUGGGUUAAGUCCCGCAACGAGCGCAACCCUUGUUCACUGUUGCCAGCACGUUAUGGUGGGGACUCAGUGGAGACCGCCGGGGUCAACUCGGAGGAAGGUGGGGAUGACGUCAGGUCAUCAUGCCCCUUAUGUCCAGGGCUUCACGCAUGCUACAAUGGCUGGUACAGAGAGUGGCGAGCCUGUGAGGGUGAGCGAAUCUCGGAAAGCCGGUCUCAGUUCGGAUUGGGGUCUGCAACUCGACCUCAUGAAGUCGGAGUCGCUAGUAAUCGCAGAUCAGCAACGCUGCGGUGAAUACGUUCCCGGGGCU
Molecule: ribosomal RNA, 1346 nt
Filed under: uncultured bacterium
Lineage: Bacteria
Description: partial 16S ribosomal RNA
Rfam family: Bacterial small subunit ribosomal RNA
Source: RNAcentral